RNAcentral lists this ribosomal RNA (348 nucleotides) under Microkayla boettgeri. RNAcentral describes it as "partial 16S ribosomal RNA". It matches the Rfam family "Bacterial large subunit ribosomal RNA", at positions 2090 to 2597 of the family's 2925-position model. Lineage: Eukaryota; Metazoa; Chordata; Amphibia; Anura; Craugastoridae. The record is from RNAcentral.
CCUAUGGAGCUUUAAACUGCAAGUUAUUCGCCUAUCCUUUAUAGUUUCAGAAAUUUAAUAUCCAGGCCCGUUAACUACAAGUUUUAGGUUGGGGUGACCUAGGAGAAAACAAAUCCUCCUAGUUGGUACGGGUAAGCCCUGAAAAAAAAGCCACAACUUUAAUUACCAAUAAAUUGACAUCAAUUGACCCAGUCCGCUGAGCAACGAACCAAGUUACCCUAGGGAUAACAGCGCAAUCUACUUCAAGAGUCCCUAUCGACAAGUGGGUUUACGACCUCGAUGUUGGAUCAGGGUGUCCGAGUGGUGCAGCCGCUACUAAAGGUUCGUUUGUUCAACGAUUAAAACCCU